Coffea arabica (coffee) is the source of this 358-nucleotide non-coding RNA. NCBI's taxonomy places the organism in Eukaryota, Viridiplantae, Streptophyta, Magnoliopsida, Gentianales, Rubiaceae. The record is from RefSeq and is a predicted model, not a curated record.
CCAAAGUGACCAAACCUCCCAGAAGGGUAAAGGUUAAACAAGGAACCCCUGUACGUUCGAAUAAAGCCGUAAGAUUUUCAUGGUUUGGAGAGUGUGCAAAGGCGUCAAGAACAGAGAGUAGAUUCAAAAUAUAGUGGGGAAUGAGACAGGAACACAAAGUUCAAGAAUCAUGAGAUCCCGUCUUCAAUUCUGUACACUUGCUGCUGCUUAUUUCCUCAUUUCCACCAUUUUUUUAUAGUAUGAGAUAUGAUGUAAAGCUUUUUGACAAGCUGGGCAUAUGAAUAUUUUUUGGUCCAGCCAAUUUUUAGUGAUCAAUAAAAGUAAAAGGGGGACAAAAAAAAUUUUUUUUUUUUGGGCA